AGUUAGAACGCUCGUAGUCGGAUUUCGGGGCGGGCCGACCGGUCUGCCGAUGGGUACGCACUGGUCGGCGCGUCCUUCCUUCCGGAGACCGUGCCUACUCUUAACUGAGCGGGGGCGGGAGACGGAUCGUUUACUUUGAAAAAAUCAGAGUGUUUCAAGCAGGCAGCUCGCUCUUGCAUGGAUUAGCAUGGGAUAAUGAAAUAGGACUUUGGUGCUAUUUUGUUGGUUUCGAACACCGAAGUAAUGAUUAACAGGGACAGUCAGGGGCACUCGUAUUCCGCCGAGAGAGGUGAAAUUCUCAGACCAGCGGAAGACGAACUACUGCGAAAGCAUUUGCCAGGGAUGUUUUCACUGAUCAAGAACGAAAGUUAGGGGAUCGAAGACGAUCAGAUACCGUCGUAGUCUUAACCAUAAACCAUGCCGACUAGGGAUUGGAGGAUGUUCACUGAUUGACUCCUUCAGCACCUUACGGGAAACUAAAGUCUUUGGGUUCCGGGGGGAGUAUGGUCGCAAGGCUGAAACUUAAAGGAAUUGACGGAAGGGCACCACCAGGUGUGGAGCCUGCGGCUUAAUUUGACUCAACACGGGGAAACUUACCAGGUCCAGACAUUGUGAGGAUUGACAGAUUGAGAGCUCUUUCUUGAUUCGAUGGGUGGUGGUGCAUGGCCGUUCUUAGUUGGUGGAGUGAUUUGUCUGGUUAAUUCCGUUAACGAACGAGACCUUAGCCUGCUAAAUAGUGACGCGAACACUUCGUUCGCGGGCCACUUCUUAGAGGGACAACUUGUCUUCAACAAGUGGAAGUUUGA
This 806-nucleotide ribosomal RNA is filed under the name marine plankton environmental sample. RNAcentral's name for it is "SSU rRNA". It matches the Rfam family "Eukaryotic small subunit ribosomal RNA", at positions 617 to 1448 of the family's 1831-position model. The record is from RNAcentral.